This 205-nucleotide long non-coding RNA is filed under the name Elaeis guineensis (African oil palm). RNAcentral's name for it is "long non-coding RNA (EGUI_LNC016163)". Lineage: Eukaryota; Viridiplantae; Streptophyta; Magnoliopsida; Arecales; Arecaceae. The record is from RNAcentral.
UGCUAUGGGUGAAAAUAUUCGUUGCAACAGUGAUACUAUGUCAAACUUAUUACAACCCAAUGAGAACGCUUGCAUUUCAUCGAGUGCCGUAUAUUUCACCGAUUCUCGUGAAUGAUGCCCCAUACUAACCACCGAUUUUUGACUUUUGAUUGAAUUAUGACAACUUUGACGUGGUAUCACCAUUGCAACUAAUAUCUUCUCCUGC